Molecule: long non-coding RNA, 890 nt
Filed under: Gossypium raimondii (Peruvian cotton)
Lineage: Eukaryota; Viridiplantae; Streptophyta; Magnoliopsida; Malvales; Malvaceae
Description: long non-coding RNA (GRAI_LNC004228)
Source: RNAcentral
CGGCACCAUAACACCUCCUGGGGCAGUAUAAUAAACUCGCCUGUCGUACGCUGCCAUGUGUGCGUAUGAAGAAUCUGGUACUCCUCCGCUUUGCGGCCUCACCAUUUGCUGUGUCAUGCCGGAUAUUGGCGGGUGUUGGGUUGGUGGAGGUUGUGCCACCAUGUUGUAAACGGGUUGCUCCCGGUAGACUUCGGAUGGCAUUCUCUGUACGUUGGUGUAGUAGCCUUGACCGGCUUGUCCGGUUACCGGUCGAACCAUUUGUUGCGUUGCUGGUGCAGAAGCUGGAGCUGGAACUUGUGGAGGCGCGUGGUAGACGGUGGCCGGAGCAUGUCCUUGUGCUGGGAUCAUGUAGACUGGAUGUUCAGAGUGCGGAGGUUGGCCGGGGUUUGUAGUUACGGUUGCAGGGAAACCUCCGGCAGAAAUUGGUUUAUCCGACCAGAAUCCAGCUGUAGCUGGUACAUGUUGUUGGAAAGUUACCGGUCUGUUCACCGGAGGCGCUUUUUCAGGCAUCUUCUGUGCGUAGUAUUCCCCUGUAUAAGCCAUGGAAGCAGCGUCUUCAGUCUUCUUUCGAUACAUAGCGAGCUGUUCUUGAUCCCGAAUUUGAAGCCUCUGCAAUUCCUGUAACUGUCUCUGAAUUUCAACGGGAUUCAAAACAUGAUCUGUCCCCACGACUUCCGGUAUCGGAGGCGGAGGCGGGUUCACCGGUUCCACCACGGGAUCACGGAUUUUCACCGGCGGAGGUUGAGGGAUCCCCUUUUCAAUCCCAAACAAGGAAUCCAAAUUGUUUGGUGGAAUCACAACUCCACCCGGAGUCGUGCCGGAAUUGAAUGCCUCUACGAACCCUUCCCGCUCCGAUUUCGGCCCUUCGGAACCGAAAUUCCCUAGGUCAG